CCGCUGCUGGUCGAGUGGGCGACGGGCCACGCCGUGUGGCCGACCGCGAAGGGCUGGGCGAUCGUCGCCUUCGUGGCGAUC
RNAcentral lists this transfer RNA (81 nucleotides) under Methylobacterium sp. Its description in RNAcentral is "tRNA-Arg". Lineage: Bacteria; Pseudomonadati; Pseudomonadota; Alphaproteobacteria; Hyphomicrobiales; Methylobacteriaceae. RNAcentral also lists the same sequence under 1 other name. The record is from RNAcentral.